RNAcentral lists this ribosomal RNA (253 nucleotides) under uncultured bacterium. Its description in RNAcentral is "partial 16S ribosomal RNA". It matches the Rfam family "Bacterial small subunit ribosomal RNA", at positions 524 to 776 of the family's 1533-position model. The record is from RNAcentral.
UACAGAGACUGCGAGCGUUAUUCGGAUUCACUGGGCGUAAAGGAUGCGCAGGCGGCCGUGUGUGUGAGGCGUGAAAGCCCGGGGCUUAACCCCGGAAUUGCACCUCAAACUACACGGCUAGAGCAUUGGAGAGGGUAGCGGAAUUCACGGUGUAGCAGUGAAAUGCGUAGAUAUCGUGAGGAACACCAGAGGCGAAGGCGGCUACCUGGACAAUUGCUGACGCUCAGGCACGAAAGCGUGGGGAGCAAAAGGG